Molecule: long non-coding RNA, 4389 nt
Filed under: Sus scrofa (pig)
Lineage: Eukaryota; Metazoa; Chordata; Mammalia; Artiodactyla; Suidae
Description: lncRNA (ENSSSCG00005005338.1)
Source: RNAcentral
UGGAUCCUUAAGCCUCUGUGCCAAGCCUGGGAUUGAACCUGCAUCCCAGCACUCCCAAGAUGCCACCAAUUCCGUUGUGCCACAGUGGGAACUCCAGGAGGGCUAUUUUUUUAUGAUUUUUAUUUUUUCCCUCAUAGUUGAUCUAAGGUGUUCUGUCAAGGGGAGGUCUAUUUUUGAUAGGUGUUCAGGGACGGCCUCUUUGAGGAGAUGGCAUUUCAGCUAAUGUCACAAUGAACAGUCCAGCUCUGCAAAGACCUAAAAGGGAAGCUCAAACAAGGAAAUGGGAGUUCCCACUGUGGCUUGGCAUGUUAAGAACCUGACUUAGUCUCCGUGAGGAUAUGUGUUCGAUCCCUAGCCUCCCUCAGCAGGUUCAGGUUGCCACAGGCUGUGGUGUAGGCUGCAGAUGUGGCACGGAUCCACUGUUCCUGUGGCAUAGGCUUGCAGCCCCAAUUCUACCCCUGGCCUGGGAACUUCCAUAUGCUGCAGGUGCAGGUAUAAAAAUAAAAAUUAAAAAAAAAAAAAAAAAACCUCAAGGAAAUGGCUCAUGCAAGGGCCUUAAAGAACAAAAGACUGGGAGUUCCCGUCGUGGCGCAGUGGAUAGAAUCCGACUAGGAACCAUGAGGUUGCGGGUUCGGUCCCUGCCCUUGCUCAGUGGGUUAACGAUCCGGCGUUGCUGUGAGCUUGGUGAUGGUUGCACAAUAGAAUAUACUGAAACUUCUGAAUUGUAUACUUUAAAAGGGUGACUUUUAUGGUACAUGAAUUAUAUCUCAAUUUUUAAAAUUACAGUUUAAGUGCAGAACACUGAGGAAUAAAAAAAUGUCUUCAAGAGUUCCCGUUGUGGCUCAGAGAGUUAAGAACCUGGUAAGUACCCAUGAGGAUGCAGGUUUGAUCCCUGGUCUCGCUCAUUGGGUAAGGAUCUGGGGUUGUCGAAAGCAGUGGCCUAGGUCAGAUCUGUCAUUGCUGUGACUAUGGCCUAGGCCUCAGGUGCAGCUCUGAUUCAACCCCUACCCUGGGAGCUUCUAUAUGCCGUAGGUAAGACCCUAAAAAGAACAAAGGAAAAAAAAAAGAACGUGUCUUGAGUUGUCUGAGGUCCGCAAAGAAGCCUGAACUUGCAGCAGCUACGCAGCUUUUCUGUACCUCGCCCUCCUCUUCCUCUCACAGAGCCACUUCUUACCACCUCAAAUAUCCAUCUACACCAGGAUUUACUGUUUGUACAAAAUCAAAGAAAGCAAAAGUGAAAAAAUAGGUGUAAACUAUUAGAGAUGGCUUAUCCAUAACUGUGAAAGGAUCUUUUCUCUCUCAUUUAUAACUAACACUUUACUAACACUGCUCAGCAUGAAUCUGACAUCUUAGCAAUUGUAAAGUCAGGAACUCCCUAAGCUGCUAAAAGGUAGUCUGUCAUUUUUCAAGUCACUAUAACAAGAUUCCCCCUAAUAGUCUAAGUAAUCACUAGAAAGAGAACUGACAUUUUGAAACCACGUUUCCAGGACAAAUUUUUUUUUUUUGGUGUUUUGUUUUUUUUAAAGCUAAACAAAAUCCCCAGGUGUCUGACUUCACAGGAGGCUGCAGUUGCUUUCUACUACAUUUCCUCAAAGCAAAAGCCACGAAAAAACAUUUAAAGGAAAAAAAAAAGAGAGAUGUUUACAAAUCAGGACACCAGAAAAGUACAUCAAUUUGCAAGACAGGCUUGGGGGGGAGGGGCGCGAAUGCUAUCUCCAAAUUUCCUUUUACAGAAAUGCCUUACUUGGUCCCCAGUCACACCCAAACUGGGUCAGGUAGGACACAGGCUGUCAGGGCCCGAGGCUCAGGAGGGCUUCUUCCCAGCACUCCUGGGCACUUUGCACAGGACCGUUCUUUUCUACUGAGAACACAAACGACAGACUUAAGUGGUAGCAGGACAAAUGGUGAGCUACAGGACAGAAAAAAAUCUCUGCGGCAUAAACACAGUCACGGGGUUUAUGACAGGAAUUGGAAGUCCAGGACUCCUUAUUUUUGUUUUUUUUGGCCUCCCUACGGCAUAUGGAGUUCCUGGGCCAGAGAUCAGAUCCGAGUCACAGCUGCAGCCUACACUGCAGGUGUGGCAAUACUGGAUGUUUAACCCACUGUGCUGGGCCAGUGAUCGAGAGAUGCUGCCAAUCCCACUGCACCACGGCAGGAACCCCUCCUGAGUUGUUUUGUUUUUUUUUUUCUUUCUUCUGGCUGUACCUAUGGCAUACAGAAGUUCCCCGGCCAGGGACUGAAUACAAGCCACAGCUGUGACCUACACCACAGCUGCAGCAAUGCCAGAUCCUUAACUCACUGAGCUGGGCUGGGGAUCGAACUGGCACCACCAGAGACAAGCUGGAUCAUUAACCCACUGCACCACAGCAGGAACACCUGAGUUUUGUAAUUACACUAACACAACAACAUUAACGGAAAUCAAAAUUUCUAAAAAUUCUGUCACAAGUUUGCCACCCCAAUAAAUCACAUUUUCUUCUUUCCUAUGCUCUCUUUUGGCUUUUCUAUAUGUACGUCCACAGUUCUUAUAUUUUGGAAUUUAAAAUAUUUUCUCUCUACUGAAGACUAUUAGCAGUAAUUAUGCAACCUUUAUAACCAUAUGUUCUAUAAUUUACUAAUGUGGUCAACAUUAAAGCACCUACAGCAAUUUUUGCAAUAAAAACUGUGUGGUGAGGAACUUGCCUUUUGAAGAUUUUUUACAUGAAGUUAUUAACACAUCUGUCUUGCUAGGAAGAGGAUUUGGAGUUUAAAAAUCUGACUUUUCAUAGUGGCAGCUUUGUAAAUAGAAAUAUAUUAAUAUAAGAAUAGAUUAAUAACAAGUUAUUGAUAUUAGAGUUUAAUGGGAUGCCACUUGAAGCAUGGUAAUUAACCUAAAACCCCUAAAGUGAACCUAAAAUUUUAUAAUUAUAGCACAGUGGAAAAUUACUAUUUUAAUAGUUGGCUCUAGAAUGCUUUCCAGAGGGGAGGUGGUUUAUCUAUGUUUAGGAAAAUAUUCUGAUAAGCUCCUUAAAGGUGGAAGGCAAACCUUGAAGCCACAGAUUAGAAAAAAGAGAGACAUGUCAAUUGUCUAGCAAAGAAAAUUAAUGGAAAUCUGGAGGAAGAUACGGGUGACAUGGACUACAGAGGGGAGGGAGGUGGCGUCCAAAGCUAGGUGACGAGCUGCAUCCUUCAGAACAGAGUGACUCAUGAGACAGCAAUACGCUGUGUCUGGGAGUGGGGAGGCCUUGGGGGUGGGCCGAAUGCCCCUUAGGAAAAGUACAAUCUAGGAGUUCCCACAGUGGCGCAGGGGUAUAGGUUCGAUCCCCAACACAGUGCAGUGGGUUAAAGGAUCCGGCGUUGCUGCAGCUGCAGCUCAGAUUCAUUCGCUGGUGCAGGAACUUCCAUAGGCGGCCAUUAAAAAAAAAAAAGGACAAGGAGUUCCCAUCAUGGCUCAGUGCUUAACAAAUCCGACUAGGAACCAUGAGGUUGCGGGUUGGAUCCCUGGCCUUGCCUUGCGGGUUAAGGAUCCAGCAUUGUGGUGAGCUGUGGUGUAGAUCCUUGACCCACUGAGUGAGGCCAGGGAUCGAACCCGCAACCUUGUGGUUCCUAGCCAUGACAGGAACUCCAUAACUACUUUUUUAAAAUACAAGCUUCACUUCAGCAAUACCAUGGAAUUUAGUUCCCUGAUUUUACAAAGUUGUUCCCUCUUUUUUUUUUUUGCUUUUUUAGGGCCACACCCACAGCAUAUGGAAGCUCCCAGGCUAGGGGUCCAAUCAGAGCUAUAGCUGCUGGCCUAUGCCACAGCAAUACAGGAUCCAAGCCGUGUCUGUAACCUACACUGCAGCUCAUGGCAACAUUGGAUCCUUAACCCCCUGAGCGAGGCCAGGGAUGGAACCCCCAUCUUCAUGGAUCCUAGUCGGGUUUGUGACUGCUAAGCCACAACGGGAACGCCCUCCCUCUCUCUUAAAUGAUCUCUAGCAGUGGUUCUCAAAUUGCAGAGUGUAUCGAAAUCCCCGGGGGGGGGGGGUGUCCUUAAAUUCCAGGCAGCUGAGGCCCAUGCCCUGAAUUUGUCUCUGCAGAUCCGAGCAGGGCUUGAGAAUGUAUCUCUCUUAUACAUAAACUGCCAGGUGAUAGUGAUGCUGCUGGUCCAGGGAACACACUUUAAGAACUGCUGAUCUGGAGUUCCCAUUGUGGCUCAGUGGGUUACAACACCAACUAGCAUCCAGGAGGAUGCAGGUUCAAUCCCUGGCCUCGUUCAGNNNNNNNNNNNNNNNNNNNNNNNNNNNNNNNNNNNNNNNNNNNNNNNNNUUGGGUCCUUCGUGGCUGUGGCUGGCAGCUGCAGGUCCAAUUUGAUCCUGAACCUGGGGACUUUCAUAUGCCACAGGUUCGGCCCUAAAAAGAAAAAAAAAAAAA